This 275-nucleotide ribosomal RNA is filed under the name uncultured prokaryote. RNAcentral describes it as "partial 16S ribosomal RNA". It matches the Rfam family "Bacterial small subunit ribosomal RNA", at positions 524 to 798 of the family's 1533-position model. The record is from RNAcentral.
UACGGAGGAUCCGAGCGUUAUCCGGAUUUAUUGGGUUUAAAGGGUGCGCAGGCGGAAUAUUAAGUCGGCGGUGAAAGUUUGCAGAUUAACUGUAAAAUUGACGUUGAUACUGGUAUUCUUGAGUGUAUAUGAAGUAGGCGGAAUUUGUAGUGUAGCGGUGAAAUGCAUAGAUAUUACAAGGAACUCCGAUUGCGAAGGCAGCUUACUAAAUUACAACUGACGCUUAGGCACGAAGGCGUGGGUAUCAAACAGGAUUAGAUACCCCUGUAGUCCCU